Long non-coding RNA from Lutra lutra (Eurasian river otter), 206 nucleotides. RefSeq lists it as uncharacterized. The record is from RefSeq and is a predicted model, not a curated record. NCBI's taxonomy places the organism in Eukaryota, Metazoa, Chordata, Mammalia, Carnivora, Mustelidae. The transcript is spliced from 2 exons.
ACUCAUUUGACAUUGUGCCUAACAGGAGUUUUGUGAUGGUUGUGUUUUCUGCACCUCUUUGUGGAAAGAUACACUCUUCGCAGACAGAGACAUAUUCCACAGCAUUUUGUUCUUUGCACACAGAAGGUGUCAUUAAAUAAUGGUGGGAUGAAUUGUCAUUCCAUUUUAAUUCAGUUCCUUGACCUUAUCACUGAGAUAAUCAUCAA